GCAGAUUCCAUCCUGAGAGGCCAAGACACACGCAGGAGGAGCUGGCUUUCAUUUCUUGUCAAUGCCUUUGGCAUUUCGGGGACGACAGGGCUUGAGCUUCUGCUUGGCAAAGAUAUUUUUUCUGGAUCUCCUGGAGGUUAUCUGUUGGCUUCGGUUGCACUGAUCAUUGUCUACUUUGAUGCUUGGCGGUACGAAAUCCAGGAACAGCCUCAUCGGUCGCUUUCGGAAGAGGUGUCACUAGGCCCUUCACCUGGCUUCCAUUGCUGGUGUUACCUGCAGAGCAGAAGGCCCAGGUACCUUGAGUGACUUGGAAGUUGGAUGGACGAAGCCCCAGCUGUUCUGCCCANGGAUGAGAUAUUUUGGGAGCCACAGUUCAGUGACAUCUGAAAAGCUACUGUUUGGCCACUCCUGAUCUAGCAGGUAUGGAAGCUG
This 432-nucleotide long non-coding RNA is filed under the name Salvator merianae (Argentine black and white tegu). Its description in RNAcentral is "lncRNA (ENSSMRG00000005682.1)". Lineage: Eukaryota; Metazoa; Chordata; Lepidosauria; Squamata; Teiidae. The record is from RNAcentral.